This 448-nucleotide long non-coding RNA is filed under the name Equus caballus (horse). Its description in RNAcentral is "lncRNA (ENSECAG00000056972.1)". Lineage: Eukaryota; Metazoa; Chordata; Mammalia; Perissodactyla; Equidae. The record is from RNAcentral.
GUGGCAGGCAGCGCUGCUCCGAGCUCUGACUCAGCCGGGCAGCCCAGCCCUAACUGCUGUUGACACGUGAUAACACGUGUUUGUUUAGCUGGAGCCACUCACCCAAGGGGUUAAUGUUCAACUCCCCCGUCCCCCGGAGCCGUGGCAGGUUGCUGGGUGGCGAGACCCUCGCCAGCCGGGCUGUGCUUCCUCCCCAGACAGCGAUGUCCUGUCUCAGGCACGGUGCAGCCAGGAAAACAGGAUUUCAAGCAGAGAAGGAUUGAAUCCGGGCUCUUAGGCGCUUCUAGAACCCCUGAAAGAGCUGGAAGAGUGAAGAGCAGGCAGCACCCCCCGCCCCGACCUUGGUGUUUGGAAAUCAGGAAGUGCCGGAAUUGCAGGCGCCCCUGCACCACAACUGGCAUGGCUCCAUGAGCAGUGUACAGGUCUGCACCCGGGAUCCAAACUUGUG